Long non-coding RNA from Paramisgurnus dabryanus, 922 nucleotides. RefSeq lists it as uncharacterized. Lineage: Eukaryota; Metazoa; Chordata; Actinopteri; Cypriniformes; Cobitidae. The record is from RefSeq and is a predicted model, not a curated record.
UCAAAGGAUAAGUUGCUGUCGAACAUCACACCUAAGUUCCUAACCGUGGAAGAUGGCACCACAGUACAGCCAUCUAUGUGCAAUUUGUAAUCUGACAUAUUAUGUUUGUAGCGAUUUGGUUCAAUAAUAAGUAUCUCUGUCUUAUUGGAGUUGAGCUUAAAGGUGCCCUUCCACACAAAACCGUUUUUACUUGUAUUUUUUGAUAUGUGUUAGGUCUAUAUGUGUCUGUGUUGUGUCGGGAAUGUGAAAAUGAACUUCUACCUCUUAUGUCAGCUUUAGCCACUGAAAAGAAAUAAGGGGAGAAAUUAGGUCAGUUGAAAAAGCUGAUCAGUGUGACGUGGAACUGAUCGAGCUCAUUAUUAUUCAUGAGCUCUCCCACUUGAGACCGCGCCCACAGAUUUCGUUCAGCUCUGUGAGUUUUCUAUACCGCAAGGAUGGCUGAACGUCAACGUGCUUGUGCCCUAUGCAGGAAUAGAGGUUCAACUAUGCACAUGUUGCCCAAGAACCCAGAAUUAAGAAUGAAAUGGCUUCAGUUCAUUUUUGGAACAAUGCCAAACCAUGAUCAUUCCAAUGUAUUUAUAUGUUCAUCACAUUUUGAAGAGAGUGACUUCAUAAACUUCGGGGAGUACAGCAAAGGCUUCACGACACGGUUGCGGUUGAAGCCUGGAGCAGUACCAUCGCGGCAGUCUACGGCCAGUGUCCAGCCUAGCACAUCGGGGACAUCUUUCAGCCAUGCAUUUUCACAAACAGACUCACCUAAUCUGUCAUCUCGGGGGACUCAGCUAUCAAUGGGUACUCUACGACAUCAUGUCAAAAGCAGAGGAACACAAACUACUGGCUGUUCUGAAAGUGUGAACAUUGGCACAACUACAGCAGAUGCACCUUGGGGACCUCUGACCUCCACGCCAAUCAAGGUAGCACA